RNAcentral lists this ribosomal RNA (460 nucleotides) under uncultured bacterium. RNAcentral's name for it is "partial 16S ribosomal RNA". It matches the Rfam family "Bacterial small subunit ribosomal RNA", at positions 338 to 795 of the family's 1533-position model. The record is from RNAcentral.
CCUACGGGAGGCAGCAGUGAGGAAUAUUGGUCAAUGGGCGGGAGCCUGAACCAGCCAAGCCGCGUGAGGGAAGAAGGUACCGCGUAUCGUAAACCUCUUUUGUCAGGGAACAAAGGCUGGGACUAGUCCACUGAUGAGUGUACCUGAAGAAAAAGCAUCGGCUAACUCCGUGCCAGCAGCCGCGGUAAUACGGAGGAUUCAAGCGUUAUCCGGAUUUAUUGGGUUUAAAGGGUGCGUAGGCGGUCUUUUAAGUUAGAGGUGAAAUUCCGUGGCUCAACCUAGGAAUUGCCUGUGAUACGGGUAGGCUAGAGAGUGUUUGCGGGAGGCGGAAUGCAUGGUGUAGCGGUGAAAUGCUUAGAGAUCACACAGAACACCGAUUGCGAAGGCAGCCUACCAAGCCAUUUCUGACGCUGAGGCACGAAAGCGUGGGGAUCAAACAGGAUUAGAUACCCGAGUAGUC